This 291-nucleotide long non-coding RNA is filed under the name Monodelphis domestica (gray short-tailed opossum). RNAcentral's name for it is "lncRNA (ENSMODG00000031082.2)". The record is from RNAcentral. Lineage: Eukaryota; Metazoa; Chordata; Mammalia; Didelphimorphia; Didelphidae.
CAGGUUAGUAUUGGGAUGGGGUCCCAAUGUGGCAGUGAGCGAGAAGAAAUAGAAUUGGUACUAAGACAAGGUAUAUAUAAUACCAAUUCAAGGACAGAAGGAAGACAAUCCGACCUCACAAAGAUGUGUUGUUGGAAAAGGGAACCAACAUUGCAAAAGACUUUUUGGAGCUCUACGGAAAUUUGUCUGUGCUACUAGACAACUACUCAGCAGGUAAAUGAGUUUAAAGAAGAAAAACCCCACAACCAACGAGCCAGGAGGGAGGAAGAGUAUCACAAAUUUUGUAGGAGG